CUGCAGCUAAUUAAGCCAACCAGCCCCCUCUCCCCAGUGUGCAGUGGCUACAGACAGCAUCCUCCUUGGUAGUGUAGCAGCCUAUUGCUUGUAUGGGUUGCCCAAAAGGACCUUGGAGACAGUC
Molecule: small nucleolar RNA, 124 nt
Filed under: Dasypus novemcinctus (nine-banded armadillo)
Lineage: Eukaryota; Metazoa; Chordata; Mammalia; Cingulata; Dasypodidae
Description: Small nucleolar RNA SNORA70 (ENSDNOG00000042169.1)
Rfam family: Small nucleolar RNA SNORA70
About the family: snoRNA U70 seems to be exclusive to mammals and is a member of the H/ACA class of snoRNA which contain H (ANANNA) and ACA box motifs. H/ACA box snoRNAs are involved in the conversion of uridines to pseudouridines (5-ribosyluracil) a constituent of structural RNAs (transfer, ribosomal, small nuclear, and small nucleolar).
Source: RNAcentral